This 253-nucleotide ribosomal RNA is filed under the name uncultured bacterium. RNAcentral's name for it is "partial 16S ribosomal RNA". It matches the Rfam family "Bacterial small subunit ribosomal RNA", at positions 524 to 776 of the family's 1533-position model. The record is from RNAcentral.
UACAGAGGUCCCAAGCGUUGUUCGGAUUCACUGGGCGUAAAGGGUGCGUAGGCGGGUCUUUAAGUCAGGGGUGAAAUCCUGGAGCUCAACUCCAGAACUGCCUUUGAUACUGAAGAUCUUGAGUUCGGGAGAGGUGAGUGGAACUGCGAGUGUAGAGGUGAAAUUCGUAGAUAUUAGGAAGAACACCAGUGGCGAAGGCGGCUCACUGGUCCGGUACUGACGCUGAGGUGCGAAAGCGUGGGGAGCAAACAGG